Long non-coding RNA from Sander lucioperca (pikeperch), 3115 nucleotides. NCBI's taxonomy places the organism in Eukaryota, Metazoa, Chordata, Actinopteri, Perciformes, Percidae. The record is from Ensembl.
AUUCCAAUAAUUCCCCAGGUUCAGGUGCAUCAUAUUUUAUAAGCUGGAAUGUUCCUACAUUUACUCGGGUACACCUACUUUGUUUUGAGGUAGCCUACUUGUUGUACUUGACUUGGGUAUUCCCCCCGUUGCCUAAAGACACACCCACCUGAGCCCCCCUCCCGGACUAUCGAGGCAAAUAUGGUCGGGUGCACCAGAGCAGAAAGACCCCCCUCCUCUAAUCCACUCCUUACGCAAAUAAACCUUCAUACGUUAUGUGACUGCUUGAAUAGAGGUUGAACAUUAGGAAUCUAAAAAGAGAAAGUCCUGAAAAGGGAAGCUGCUUGUUGUGGAUAUUAUCGACCACCAUGGCUUCCACACCCUCCACCUCUGCCCUGUCUGCUGUUCUCCGGUGUCGGGGAAAUAUCUGGACCAGGAAUCCGCCGACGAAGCGGCCUGCCACCUCGGCGUACAGCCUGGGUCUGACCGGCGGCUCGCCAGCUGAGCGCACCCGGUCAAACCAGGCGUCAGCGUGGGAGCCUUCUCUCCAAGGAGACCGUGUACUGGUGGGAAGAGUAUAUAAAUCACCCCGGGUGGUUGGCAAAAUGUUGAGAGAAAAAGAUUCCAAUGAAAUGAAUACAUUGUCUCACCCAAAACUUUCGCAAUCCGCAGGGGACGCGCACUCAUCUGGUGUCCAAAACGCGCUGGUGCGUCAGCAGGCAAGCAGACUGACUUUUAACUUGCCUGGAUUAGACACGUGCUCUCAAAUAAUUCGAAAGAUUAAUUGCAAAACAUAUUAUGCUACACACAUCUGUAAAAUACUAUUUGUUCAGGAAAUGAGUGUAUUCCCAGUUUUGAACGUGCUCAUAACGUCUCCGUGUGUGAUGGAGAAUGCAAGACAAAUACCGUCUUUCGUGUUAACUGGCUGGUCAACCCUGAAGAGUAGCUGUGUGUCUUUGACUGCUCUGGUGUCAGAAUUCAUGUUUUUAAAGCUGGCGGUGUUGUGGAGGUCCAGCAGCAGCCCUGAUGAUGCGCUAAAGCGGCACAACAUAAAAGCAAUGCCCUGCAGGCCAAUGGACAAAUCCACAGUCCCCCUGGCAUCACCUCCUCCAAGGACAACUCCGGCUCUGGACAAAUGAUCCCAGAGGACAGACCUGACUGAGAGUCCAAGGCCUCAGCACCAAAAACACACACUGUGAUCUAACCUUAUUUAUUGACUUUUACUUGGCUUUCAAAAUGCACAAAGCACAUUUGGACUUUAACCCAGUGAUACAACAACUGGUUGUUUUUAGAGCAGUUUGUUUUUUUGCUUUAAGGAAAAGUAAGACAUUCUGUGACAAGAAAUACCUGAGAAACAUCAGUCACAUGCAUUGUUUAGUACAUUAGGCCUCCUAGUGGAGAGGUAAAAUAAUGGCAGUGCAUUUUAUUUUUGAGGUUACCCUGUAGCUAAACAAAAACUUAUUUUGCAAACUGGAGUAAAACUAAAAGUAGGCCUAUUACAUCUCAGAAAAUGGAAAUAUUCCAAGUUUAAGUACAAACUAAAUGUGGAGGAAUAAUUGAAAGAUUUGUACUUAUUCUUUCCUCUUGUGUUUUGAAGAUGUUUGCUUGAUUUUUCACUCUGAAAUAUAUUUUGGAUAAAAAAUAUAGAUCCCUACAAAUGUCAAAGAUCACUUGCAUAAAUGUAGCCAUCUUUUAUACUUUCCAGAUGUUUUAACAGUGUCCUGUAAAGUAUGAAAGUCCUGUCAGAAGAAGUAUAUCAGAUCUUUUACUUUAGUAAAAAUAGCAUAUAUAGCAAUGCCUUUUAUUUCCACACAGCGUUAUUACUACUCUUACUUAAAAGAUCUGAGUGCUUCUUCCAUCACUACAUGUGAUGCUAUACCAUGGCCAGUCGUUAGCUUAGCUUAGCAUAAAGACUGGAAACAAGGGCAAACAACUAUAGCUCAUCUGGCUCUGUCCGAAGAUAAGAUCCACCUACCAGCACCUCUAAAGCUCAUUAAUUAACACGCUUUAUUUCAUUUCUUUACGUAAUAGGUUAUGUGGGCUACAAAAACUGAUGGCAAAAAUUACAAUUCCCCAUUUAAGGCCCAACUAGUUGGGACAAGUAACUCUGCUGGUUGCCUGGCAAGUGGCACUAGCCAAGAAAUAGUUUGGCACGUAAACCCCCAUAAAAUGUCUUUACACUUCUUCUUCUUUCAACAAAUGAGGUAUAAUAUGUUAAUCAGUGAGUUUACGGUGCUGGUUGGCAUGAUUUGUCACAUUUGGACAGAGCAAAUAGUUUUCCCCCCAAAAUAGUACUUUUCCUUUAUAGGCCACUUGGUUACAGUCCCCCACUGCUGCUGAAAUGACCUGGUGAAAGAAGUAGAUUGAGUCAGAAAUUUUACUCAAAUCGAAGUAGCAAUACCACAGUUUAAAAAUACUCUUUUACAAGUAAAAGUCAUACAUUCCAAAUCUUACUUAAGCAAAAGUACAAACGUAUUGACACCAAUCAAUUACUGGAUUAUAAUUAGUAAUGCAUUCUGUGUCCAUCACUUUAUUUGUGGGGCUAAUUACUUUUAUACAUGUUGGGUGGCUUAAUAAUAAUAAUAAUAAAUAAUAUAUCAUAAUUCAUUAGCCUAGUUAAUUCUGUAUUAAUUAUCUGAAUCUGCAAAGUAGUAACUGAUAAAUAGGCCUAAGUGUAAUGGAGUAUAAAGUACAAUAUUUCCCUGAAAUGUAGUAAAGUAGAAGUAUAAAGUAUCAUAAAAUGGAUAUACUCAAAUUAAGUAGGCUACAAGCAGUACCUGAAAAUUGUACAUAAGUAGGCCUGCAGUACAUGAGUAAAUGUAGGCCUAUAUUAGUUAAGUUACUUUACACCGUUGGAAACACCCUACAGAUAAAAAGAAGUAGGAAGGAAAAACGCUGUUAUAUGCUGUUUGGGAGAUUGUCAUCAGUGUAGAUAAUGAAAACCACAUUUCUCCACUAAACCAAACACUUUGCCAAUGACUUCUCUGCAGCUCAAGAAAAAAAUGUAUGUUGUUACAUAAGAUAGGAUCUCUUCAUUACCAUAUUUCGACGCCACAGUGUGUGAAAGCAGACAAUAAAUGUUUACAAAGACAUCAAAGGCUGCUGUUUCUUAAUUAGCUCCACUGAGAGCCGCUCG